RNAcentral lists this long non-coding RNA (984 nucleotides) under Dendronephthya gigantea. Its description in RNAcentral is "uncharacterized LOC114538397, transcript variant X2". Lineage: Eukaryota; Metazoa; Cnidaria; Anthozoa; Malacalcyonacea; Nephtheidae. The record is from RNAcentral.
UUGAGUAGCCAAUCAGAAUGUAGGAUUUGUAAUAGACAAUAGUCAGGUGUAUACUAAUUUCGGAUAGUAAACGGAGCCAGCAGACCUAAUUGAUCAAAUUGAUCAGACUGCAACACCGGCGGAGUGCUUUGUUACAGGAAGCAUUUUGACGAAGUCCGUUAAUUUACCUAAAUCAUACUAGAAAACAUCGUUUUCAGUAUCCCAUGGUAUUCCCAGGAUAUUAACCGAUAAAUGUUCAACUUCUGCUGUUGAUAUGUUACUUCUUGAUCGUUAUGUUCUGCAGUGUUUGGAAAGCAUUCGCAAGUUAAAUGAUGGUCGGUUCCAAACAACAAACCUGUUGCUCGCUAAUUUCAACCUAUUCAAUACCACACUCGUUCUCGAGGGGUUCCACGAUCUGUGGUAACACCUCUUCACACGCUUUUGUAUGUUGUUUCCUUCUGUACGAAGCCCGAAUCCACCGUCUGUGAUUAUUUCUUUUGACAUAUCGUAAAUUUUGAUUGUUUGAUCAUCCGCCAAGUUCAGUCAUCAAUAACUCGCAAAUGUUGCUGUUGCUUGAAGACAUUCAGAAUAUUCUUUCAUAAGUUCGGUCCUUCAACGGAUUAUGCGUGUGUCGUAGUCUACUCAUACACAGGAUGAAUACUCACUCGCGAUCGGUCCCUUCAAUGAAGAAAACGAGGAUUUGAACUUGUCAAAUCGUUGAAUGAUGUUUGAAAAUUUUUCCAAAAUUGGACGUGCCAUCGACACGACUGACUGUGUCACAGUACAUUCCUAGUACUGCAAAUCAUUUUGUUUGACUGUUUCAUGCACAGAAUGUUCAUACUUCCACUGCAAAGAGUUGAUUGGUGUAUGGAACAUGUGAGAAAUCCCUUUGACGUACACUAACACAUAAAAGACCACUAUUAAGCAAACGUUGACGGAAAGAUUUUUAAUGAUGCAUUUGACUGACUGUGUCACAGUACAUUCCUACUACUGCAAAUCAUUUUG